Molecule: non-coding RNA, 159 nt
Organism: Stenotrophomonas maltophilia R551-3
Lineage: Bacteria; Pseudomonadati; Pseudomonadota; Gammaproteobacteria; Lysobacterales; Lysobacteraceae
Source: Rfam
GUCGAGAGCUCCCCCCGCUUGCCCAGUCUUAUCACUGCGAGUGUCAGCUCCAGCAACUGUUUGGGCGGAUCAAGGGAGAUUCCGGCGUGGGCGCCAAGCUACAUGGCGAUCGUCGAGAUCCAGGCUUGUACGGCGGCCCACGCCGGCUCUCGGCACCUA